GUUGGCGUACGGUCAGUAACACGUAGUCAACCUGCCCUAGAGACACGGACAACCCCGGGAAACUGGGAUUAAUCCGUGAUAGGUCAUCUCAUCUGGAAGGAGAGAUGGCUUAAAGGGGUGCGCGGGCUUCUUCCGCGUAUUCGCUCUAGGAUGGGACUGCGUCCGAUCAGGCUGUUGGCGGGGUAAUGGCCCACCAAACCUGUAACCGGUACGGGCCUUGAGAGAGGUGGCCCGGAGAUGGACACUGAGAGAAGGGUCCAGGUCCUACGGGGCGCAGCAGGCGCGAAACCUUCGCAAUGCGCGAAAGCGUGACGAGGUUAAUCCGAGUGGUCCCCGCUGAGGGGAUCUUUUGUCAGCUGUAAAUAGGCAGGCGAAUAAGGGGAGGGCAAGCCUGGUGUCAGCCGCCGCGGUAAUACCAGCUCCUCGAGUGGUCGGGGCGAUUAUUGGGCCUAAAGCAUCCGUAGCCGGUUCCGUAGGUCCUCUGUUAAAUCCAACCGCUUAACGGUUGACCUGCAGAGGAUACCGCGGGACUAGGAGGCGGGAGAGGCGGACGGUACUCCGCGUGUAGGGGUAAAAUCCUUUGAUCCGCGGAAGACCACCAGUGGCGAAGGCGGUCCGCCAGAACGCGCUCGACGGUGAGGGAUGAAAGCUGGGGGAGCGAACCGGAUUAGAUACCCGGGUAGUCCCAGCCGUAAACGAUGCUAGCUAGAUGAUUCAUUCGCAAGUCGCGAAUGAAGUGUCGCAGGGAAGCCGUUAAGCUAGCCGCCUGGGGAAAACGGUCGGAAGACUGAACUUAAAGGCCA
This 803-nucleotide ribosomal RNA is filed under the name uncultured soil archaeon. RNAcentral's name for it is "bacterial SSU rRNA". It matches the Rfam family "Archaeal small subunit ribosomal RNA", at positions 77 to 865 of the family's 1478-position model. The record is from RNAcentral.